This 257-nucleotide long non-coding RNA is filed under the name Salmo salar (Atlantic salmon). RNAcentral's name for it is "lncRNA (ENSSSAG00000100024.1)". The record is from RNAcentral. Lineage: Eukaryota; Metazoa; Chordata; Actinopteri; Salmoniformes; Salmonidae.
GACAGGUUUGCAAUUCUCUCACGAUUCUGUGAGAAAUGUCCUUUGCUUGGCAUGAAGAAACAGUGGGAGCCUAUAUUCAGUGGGCCUGUUGUGAAUCUCAUCAACUAUGGCUGAAAAACACAUUGUGCUUCAUUAGUUGGAAGUUGAUCACAGACCAACACUACCACCACGUUGCGUCUGGACUGCGAGGGACCACCGCCGACGUCACUAAUGACUCAAUCGCAUCCAUCGUUGAUAACAAACAGGGCAGGCAGGGG